Molecule: unclassified non-coding RNA, 236 nt
Filed under: Hevea brasiliensis (rubber tree)
Lineage: Eukaryota; Viridiplantae; Streptophyta; Magnoliopsida; Malpighiales; Euphorbiaceae
Source: RNAcentral
AGCAAUGUAGCCAAUGGUUCCUCUUGCUGUUGUCAUGGAUACUGCACUUUGAUCUUUAGAACACAACUUUGCCAGGCCAAAAUCAGAGAUCUUGGGAUUGAAGUUAUGGUCCAGCAGGAUAUUAUGUGGUUUUAUGUCAAAAUGAAGGAUUCUCCGAUUGCAUCCUUGGUGGAGAUAUUCAAUCCCUUUGGCUAUCCCAAGAGCAAUGUCUUCCAGCCUUUUCCAUCCAAGAAAAU